AUUGAACGCUGGCGGCAUGCCUUACACAUGCAAGUCGAACGGCGGCACGUUAGCAAUCCUUGCUGCUAGUGGCGAACGGGUUAGUAAAGUAUCGGAACGUGCCCGGUCGGGGGGUAUAACGUAGCGAAAUUAACGCUUAUACCACAUAAGAACUAUGGAUGAAAGCGGGGGAUCGCAAGACCUCUCGCGAUUAGAUGAGUCCAUGUCAGAUUAGGUAGUUGGUGGGGUAAAGGCUCACCAAGACGACGAUCUGUAGCUGGUCUGAGAGGAAGACCAACCACACUGGAAAUGAGACACGGCCAAGACUGAUACGGGAGGCAGCAGUGGGGAAUUUUGGACAAUGGGCGAAAGAAUGAUCCAGCAAUGACGAAUGCAGGAUGAAGGCAUUCGGGUUGUAAACUGCUUUUGUUCGGAACGAAAAGGUUUGGCGUAAGAAGAUAAGAUAAUGGAGGUACCGUAAGAGUAAGCACCGGCUAACUACGUGCCAGCAGCCGCGGUAA
Molecule: ribosomal RNA, 500 nt
Filed under: uncultured bacterium
Lineage: Bacteria
Description: partial 16S ribosomal RNA
Rfam family: Bacterial small subunit ribosomal RNA
Source: RNAcentral